Megalopta genalis is the source of this 2343-nucleotide long non-coding RNA. RefSeq lists it as uncharacterized. The record is from RefSeq and is a predicted model, not a curated record. Lineage: Eukaryota; Metazoa; Arthropoda; Insecta; Hymenoptera; Halictidae.
GCGAUCCUUUCGAUCCUCGGAGCUUUUCAGAACUGUCCGGAUCGUCCGAGAGACUCGACUUCCGCCGAAUUUUCCUGUUCGCGGAGACUAAAACCACGACUGGUUACAAGGUUCAUCGUUUGCUUCUGCGUUGCGUCAGAGUUUAUGCAACCUGUUAAUGGGACUUUCUCAUGGAGCGGACCAUCUCGAAGAAAAAAGAAAAAAUGAAAGAACACAGGAGGAUAUUCUUAUUCGUGAUAGCAGGUGCCCAGGAAUUCUAGAACGUGGUAUCGGUUAUCGGUAACCUAAUCGUGUGACACAGAACGAGAAACAAGAAGUCACGGUGAUCCGGCGACGACGCUUCGGCUCUGUCGAACCCAGCAGAUGGCGAGGUUAGAUGGAUAUUGCAUCGGCAGAGGCUAGAGAUUCUCGAAAACAAUCGGAAUAGAUGUUCCGAGUUGCAGCCCGAUGCGAAUUCUGAUAAGGGAAUCGACAACACCCAGAGAUAGCAGGAAAGGAGCGUGAUUCAUUCGGAGAGCAAGGGGAGCGUCCGAGGAUGACGAAAGCAUUAUCGACGGGAAUUCAUUUCGCUAUCUAAAUUAGCAGACCGGAAGAAAGACCGCGAGUUGCGUUUCGCUGAAAAGGAAACGCGCGCUCUCGCCGCCGAGACGACGGAACGCGUUUGAACACACGUGUUAGAUUUCGUAGGAUGCUUGGCAAGUUUUGGCGGACGAGCGUAGAAGCACGCGAACGUCGUCGAUCCGUCAUAAUUUUCGAGCGACAGGGUUCAAACGGGGCAAUUGGAAAUAAUUCGUAGCGACUGAAAGGUGCAGAGACCCAACGUGACACGCUCUCUUCGAAAGGGGUGGACUUUUCCAAUUGGAACAUAUACAGGUCGUAGCACCUACGCAAGUAUGUACCUAUAAACCUUGAUGCAACCAUGCGACACCGGAAUCGAUAAUCGCAAAGAACUCGUGCGGUUUCCUGGUCUUCGGUUCAAACGAGACAUUUUCUCCUAUCGAUAAUUGCGAUUUUCGCAACACCGACGCGAUCGUCGAAAAUCGAUCGAGACACGCGAUACGUGUCCGAACGAGAGACGAUAUUCUAUCCCUGGAUCGAUACGAUGCUGUUUACCAACAAUCGAGGAAAAAAGUUUUGCACAUACACACAAGACAAUACACAGCCGAGUUGUUACGUUCGUAAUUACCGGAACGACUGUGCGAUAACUCCGACAUUUCUCUGCGACCAUUUCAAAGCAAUUUCGAAGCCCGUGGGGUAUUCGAAUAAACAGUUUUUCCUGUGGACGAUACGUGUGGCAUUAUGUCAUGGACGAGUCGCAACUCUCGAACGGCAACAUUCGUAAACCGAUUACGUUGCAUCGUUAGCAGACAACUUGGCGCGGUCACGACGGAAACAGAGGGGACUGCUGCUUUCAUCGGAGACGUCUGUUAUCGAUAAGAAUCUUGUCCUGCAAAAACUUUCACCGUUACACUCGACUAGAAAUUCGAAUCGGACCGUGUCGAGUAUCGACGAGCAACAAUUAUUUGCGAAUUCAUGCGCCGGCAUCGAUGGACACAACCUAAUCUCACAGCAACGCGAUAUAUGUAUAGCGAUAUCGUUUAACAAACUGUUUGCCUGUAGAAUCAGGGCUGGAAUCGCGUGGAUUACCAAGUUACGAGCGAUCUAUGGCGACGGUUUCGACGGGAUCCGGCAAAAUUUCGUACGACAAGAAAGACGGAAGGGAAAGGAUCGUUCUCAAAUGUAUAGGCAAAUUCGACCGUUAUCAGCACCCAUGUACGCGCGUUAUUAACGUAAGCGCGGUGACGGAUAUGUAACGUGACGGCAGGUGCUUUGCAACGAACCAUGGAAUCGAUACGAACACCUCUCUCGCGUGCAGUUCUGCCCAUGUUCCCAACAGAAAUUAGACCCAUCUUUUUCUUUUCCUUUCUUUCGCGUCUCCGCGUGGAACUCGUUCGUUUCGAUCGAGAAUGGAAGCAUCGUCAGCGAAUUGAUAAACAGAGAACACCGUGACCGUUCGCGAUGCCAAAUUCUCGAUGACGCAUAUACCGAUUCUUUCGUUGGCCCUGUUGGUUUACAAACGGCUGAACGUUUUCGAACGAACGUGUCAAAAGUAUUCGAUCGAUAACCGAACGUUUUUUUUUAGUCUGUUUCGGUCCGGUCCCGCAGGAUUCCGAAUUCCACGGAAAAUAAACGAUUAAUCGUGAAACGAGCCGCUUUCCUCCGUGUUACGCCUCGAAAUGGAAAGUAACCCGUGAACGUGCACGGGUUCCAGGGUGGGGGUGGGAUGCAUGAAAGGUGAUUCCCGUGUAUCAGACAUGACUAAUACAGUAACGUCAACACCUC